UUGUGGACGCUCUUAUCUUUUGUCAAGAGUGUGCUGCUGCAGACGCUUCUUGUAGUUUCCUGACUCUCCGAUGUAAACAUUCUUGCAGUCUGCUCAAGGUAUCUAGUAAACUACACUGGGGAAACGCUCCCUGGGCAGGCAGUCCUUCACUCGCACAAGUUGAUGGCACAUCUUUUUGGGUGAAAUGUGUGCCACAUACAUGUCAUACUCACGUCGGACAUGUGCCAAACAUCCGCUUGUUCCAGAAAUAUGCGGUACAGGGGCUCGCUUCGUGGAAGCGGGGGCCAGCAGGAAGGAGAUGUGUCAAGGUGUCAUUGUCAUGACAGUUGAAUUUCACCUCUGCGCACCCCGCUUCCCACAAGAGGGUUGUUGUCAGCACGCUACUGCAGCGUGCCAAAAGAUUGGGCUCGAAGCCACAUGAUGCAGGCAUGGCAAAGGUUCAGCACAAAGUGUUGCUACAGCAGCAACAACUGCGCCUGCUACUGAGUCUGCUGCCACCUCAUAUCCUGCAGCCAGACCAACUAAAUGUGCUGCCUCUUCUGGUCCUGCAGCCUUAGCAGUCACACUGCCUUCUGUCUCUGAUGCUGACAUGUCGCAUUGUUCGUUCAGCAAGGAUGAACAGCUAAGAUAAUCAAGGAUCCACAAGGAGUAUUAUAGGUUGACCAGCCUAACGGUUGGAUGCUCUCAAGGGCCGCCUCAAAAAAGGACUUUCAUUUGGUUCAGCGGUCCACCAUCGCAAUAUGGUGGACAGAUGCCCGCGUGCAUAGGAGCUUCCUGGGAACGAACCAUUUUGCAGCAGAAGGUGGCCAGAAGCCUGCACAGCAGCCAUUGUCCCCACACAAAGUGGAAGCAUAGAGAGUCUCUUCCAGGCACUACAGUGCUGCCCAAAGCCCUUCGGAAGAGGAAGCGAAACAGGCCGCCCAGAACACCAGGCUUUUGGCUGUCCCAGAAGACAUCCAAGUUGAGGCGAGGGCAGAAAAAAUAAACAGAGAAGUCAUUUUCAUUUCCAAA
Molecule: long non-coding RNA, 1011 nt
Organism: Rhipicephalus sanguineus (brown dog tick)
Lineage: Eukaryota; Metazoa; Arthropoda; Arachnida; Ixodida; Ixodidae
Exons: 4
Source: RefSeq, a predicted model, not a curated record